CUGUGUGAAUUGACCACAAAUAACCUGAACUUUGACGGUUGACUGGAUCCAGGAAGUUUUGACGUUUCGCAGUUGAAAAAGGAGGGACGCCAGAUCCAGAUUUUUGAAUGUGUAGGCAUAUGAACAUAUAAACUGUUCAAAAUUGCUGCCAUUGAAUCUCCAUUCGAUGAAAAAUUUGAAGAGUAAAAUCAGAUUAGCCAGUAGUGGUUUCAUGAAAAAAAACUAGAUUUAUCAAACAAAAAGUGGAGGGAUCCUGCACAAAACCGAGUUAACAACAGCGCGCCAGUCGUUUCUACUUUUCGUAAGGUGACGCCAAUUGGAGAUUCCAAGCGAAGCCAGGCCUUCUCCAUCUGGUCCUUCCAGCGGAGUGGACUGCGUCGAAUACUUUUAGAGCUGGAGUGUUUUCGUCCAUUCGAACGACAUGACCUAGCCAGCGUAGCCGCUGUCAUUUAAUAAGUUGAACUAUGUCAAUGCCGUCGUAUAUCUCAACCAGUUCAUCGUUCCAUCGAAUGCGAUAUUCGCCAUGGCCAACGCGUAAAGAACCAUACAUCUUUCGCAGAACUGUUCUCUCGAAAACUCGCAACGUCGACUCAUCAGUUGUUGUCAUUGUCCAUGCCUCUGUACCAUAUAGCAGGAUCGGAAUAAUGAGUGACUUAUAGAGUUUUGUUCGUCGAGAGAGGACUUUACUUCUCAAUUGCCUACUCAGUCCGAAGUAGCAACUGUUAGCAAGAGAUAUCCUGCGUUGGAUUUCGAGGCUGACGUUGUUGUUGGUGUUGAUGCUGGUGUUGAUGCCCUCGUUCACCACCAGACCCAUUUGCUUCGCUGUUUUAUCCAUUCUGAAGAAGGCAGAACUAACAGCGCGGUUGUUAAGGCCAAUGAUGCCAAUAUCAUCAGCAUACGGCAGCAGAUGUACACUCUUAUAGAAGAUUGUACUUUCUUAUACCUUGAUGUAUUUAGUAUUGUAAAUUAUGUAAAAUAUAAUAAUAUACAUAAAUUAUAUAUGUAUAAACCAUAUAUAAGCUUUUUGCCAAAAAUAUAAUGUUAAUAUAGUAAAUACCAUACAUAAAUGUUGCCAAACAAUUGAUUCAAAG
Molecule: long non-coding RNA, 1091 nt
Organism: Bactrocera neohumeralis
Lineage: Eukaryota; Metazoa; Arthropoda; Insecta; Diptera; Tephritidae
Exons: 3
Source: RefSeq, a predicted model, not a curated record